AAGAUUUUUUGUUUUCUUUG
This 20-nucleotide microRNA is filed under the name Corchorus olitorius. RNAcentral's name for it is "bta-miR-23". The record is from RNAcentral. Lineage: Eukaryota; Viridiplantae; Streptophyta; Magnoliopsida; Malvales; Malvaceae.